CCUACGGGAGGCAGCAGUGGGGAAUAUUGCACAAUGGGGGAAACCCUGAUGCAGCGACGCCGCGUGAGUGAAGAAGUAAUUCGUUAUGUAAAGCUCUAUCAGCAGGGAAGAAAAUGACGGUACCUGAGUAAGAAGCCCCGGCUAACUACGUGCCAGCAGCCGCGGUAAUACGUAGGGGGCAAGCGGUAUCCGGAUUUACUGGGUGUAACGGGAGCGUAGACGGCAGUGCAAGUCUGGAGUGAAAGGCGGGGGCUCAACCCCCGGACUGCUCUGGAAACGGUACGGCUGGAGUGCAGGAGAGGUAAGUGGAAUUCCUAGUGUAGCGGUGAAAUGCGUAGAUAUUAGGAGGAACACCAGUGGCGAAGGCGGCUUACUGGACUGUAACUGACGUUGAGGCUCGAAAGCGUGGGGAGCAAACAGGAUUAGAUACCCGAGUAGU
RNAcentral lists this ribosomal RNA (439 nucleotides) under uncultured bacterium. RNAcentral's name for it is "partial 16S ribosomal RNA". It matches the Rfam family "Bacterial small subunit ribosomal RNA", at positions 338 to 794 of the family's 1533-position model. The record is from RNAcentral.